GGCAAAGCUUAAGAGAAACAUUUAAGGAAACACCCACUUGGAAGGAAGAACCAAGAGUUGACUCCAUUCCAAGAAAUCACAUCAUUCAUCUGAUCCGGGCUAUAUCUCUCCCAGCAAGAUAUGUAUGAAGAACGGAAAAGAAAUGAUUAGAAACAUUAAAAUAGAAAAGAAAAAUUGGAUGAUUUUGAGAAAGGAAUCAGAAGAUUUGUACAACCCACAGGGAGGGAGUUAUUCCUUCUCCCAACUUCCUGCUGUUGGAGUGGAGGCAUGUGACCUUGGCUGGCUGAUUAAACGCUCCAGCCUGGGUUUUGAAUAUGGAAGAACGUGCUGAGGUUGUGAGCUGAAAAGCAAAUGUGAAGACUCUGUGCUUUGCCAAACUGCAGCAUCAAGUCUCAGGGACUGAAGUAGCCGUAGCUCAUGCAGACUAUCAUCAUGGAAUUGCCUUAUAACUAGAAGAGGAAUGGACAUCGCCUCAGAAGCUGAAGAGGAUGCUGGACUGUGAACAGGAUGCAGAGGCUUAUGAACCUUUAUCAUCCUCUCCUUGGGAAGAAAGUUCCAAGUUCUUCGCAGAUUUAAUGCAAGUUAGAUUCUUCAAACUCUAGAGGCAUCAACAUGAAUUGGAAAAGUAUAGACAACCUUCAUAAUGGGAUGACGUCUAUUGAAUCUCAGCACACAGUGUGGGCCCAGCAGUUGAAGACAAGCCAAGCCCCAAGGAGGAGGGCAAGCAAUCCCAGAAGCCACUGGGCAUGGGAGGGGCAAGGUUUUCUCAACAUGGCCUCACAGGGGUUACAGCUAUGAAAGCAGUUCUGGAGGCCGGAAGUCCCAGAUCAAGAUGGUGGCAGGGUUGGUUUCUCCGGUUGCUUCUCUCCUUGGCUUGAAGAUGGCUGCUUUCUUGCUGUGCCUUUAGCUCAGUUCACUGAGGAAAUGGAUUUGGAAACAGAAAAUAAGAAUACAAAUUGAAAACCUCUUUGAGGUGAUUUUCAUUAUGAUGACUCUUUCAGCAAUGAUGGAACAGAGGCCUAGAGAAGCUUUGAUGGACAUUGGAUUGUUCCCAGUGUUUGGAUGUUACUAAUCUAGAUGUUAUGAAGUCUAUGUACAAAUGUUUCUGUGGUCAUUUUCAUUCUACUGGAGUGAAACUCCUGGGUCAUAUGGAGAUGUGGAAACAUCAGUGAACAACAAAGGCACAGAUUCCUGCCCUUACGGAGUGUAAAUUUCAGUGGCAGGUGGCAGGCAAUGAACAAAAUAAAUAAGUAAAACAUCUGAUAUACGACAUGGCAACAAGUGUGAUGGAGAAAAGUAAAGUAGAUCUGGAAACUAAAGCAAAGAAUUGAAAUUGAGUAACAUUGACUGGUAUCAAAGAGUAAAAAAUCAAAUGGCACGGAAACAAUGGUUAAUCUGUAACAAUGAACAUCCUGUGGAACCCAGAUUGUGAUCUCUAUUAUUUGUCUCGACAAGAAACCAGAGCACCGUGGAGAAUGGUGAUUCCAUGUCUGGGACAUGAAAUGGGCGAGGUUUUACUUAAAUUACUCAUACCUCUUGGCAGCCAGGAACAGAGCAAUAGCUAACCAUGAGCAUCGUAAGGAAAUGGGGCUUCUUAACCAGAUGCUGUAUAAGGUAUUGAGUGAAGUGCCAUUAAGGAUACAAAAGAUUAAUACGACAUGGUUUUUGCCUUCCAUGAAAAUAUCAUCUUAUGUAAAGG
Equus caballus (horse) is the source of this 1699-nucleotide long non-coding RNA. The record is from Ensembl. Lineage: Eukaryota; Metazoa; Chordata; Mammalia; Perissodactyla; Equidae.